CGAACGCUGGCGGCGUGCUUAACACAUGCAAGUCGACCGGAAAGGCCCUUCGGGGUACUCGAGUGGCGAACGGGUGAGUAACACGUGGGUGAUCUGCCCUGCACUUUGGGAUAAGCCUGGGAAACUGGGUCUAAUACCGGAUAGGACCACGGCAUUCAUGUGCUGUGGUGGAAAGCUUUUGCGGUGUGGGAUGGGCCCGCGGCCUAUCAGCUUGUUGGUGGGGUAAUGGCCUACCAAGGCGACGACGGGUAGCCGGCCUGAGAGGGUGACCGGCCACACUGGGACUGAGAUACGGCCCAGACUCCUACGGGAGGCAGCAGUGGGGAAUAUUGCACAAUGGGCGCAAGCCUGAUGCAGCGACGCCGCGUGAGGGAUGACGGCCUUCGGGUUGUAAACCUCUUUCGCCAGGGACGAAGCGCAAGUGACGGUACCUGGAGAAGAAGGACCGGCCAACUACGUG
This 460-nucleotide ribosomal RNA is filed under the name uncultured bacterium. RNAcentral describes it as "partial 16S ribosomal RNA". It matches the Rfam family "Bacterial small subunit ribosomal RNA", at positions 30 to 507 of the family's 1533-position model. The record is from RNAcentral.